UACGUAGGGGGCUAGCGUUGUCCGGAAUCAUUGGGCGUAAAGAGCGUGUAGGCGGCCCGGUAAGUCCGCUGUGAAAGUCGGGGGCUCAACCCUCGAAUGCCGGUGGAUACUGUCGGACUAGAGUACGGAAGAGGCGAGUGGAAUUCCUGGUGUAGCGGUGAAAUGCGCAGAUAUCAGGAGGAACACCAAUUGCGAAGGCAGCUCGCUGGGACGUUACUGACGCUGAGACGCGAAAGCGUGGGGAGCAAACAGG
RNAcentral lists this ribosomal RNA (253 nucleotides) under uncultured bacterium. RNAcentral's name for it is "partial 16S ribosomal RNA". It matches the Rfam family "Bacterial small subunit ribosomal RNA", at positions 524 to 776 of the family's 1533-position model. The record is from RNAcentral.